Molecule: ribosomal RNA, 1216 nt
Filed under: Marinococcus halophilus
Lineage: Bacteria; Bacillati; Bacillota; Bacilli; Caryophanales; Bacillaceae
Description: bacterial SSU rRNA
Rfam family: Bacterial small subunit ribosomal RNA
Source: RNAcentral
AUACAUGCAAGUCGAGCGCGGGAAACCGGCGGACUCCUUCGGGAGGAAACCGGUGGAACGAGCGGCGGACGGGUGAGUAACACGUGGGCAACCUGCCGGACUGAUGGGAAUAACCCCGGGAAACCGGGGCUAAUGCCCAAUACGCCCUGACCUCGCCUGAGGUCAGCGGUAAAGCAGGGAUCUUCGGAUCCUUGCACAGUCCGAUGGGCCCGCGGCGCAUUAGCUAGUUGGAGAGGUAAGGGCUCCCCAAGGCGACGAUGCGUAGCCGACCUGAGAGGGUGAUCGGCCACACUGGGACUGAGACACGGCCCAGACUCCUACGGGAGGCAGCAGUAGGGAAUCAUCCGCAAUGGGCGAAAGCCUGACGGUGCAACGCCGCGUGAGUGAUGAAGGUUUUCGGAUCGUAAAGCUCUGUUGACAGGGAAGAACCCACGCCAGUCGAACAGGCUGGCGUGCUGACGGUACCUGUCCAGAAAGCCCCGGCUAACUACGUGCCAGCAGCCGCGGUAAUACGUAGGGGGCAAGCGUUGUCCGGAAUUAUUGGGCGUAAAGGGCACGCAGGCGGUUUCGUCAGUCCGAUGUGACAGGCCACGGCUCAACCGUGGAAGGCCAUUGGAAACUGCGAAACUUGAGGACAGAAGAGGAGAGUGGAAUUCCACGUGUAGCGGUGAAAUGCGUAGAUAUGUGGAGGAACACCAGUGGCGAAGGCGACUCUCUGGUCUGUACCUGACGCUGAGGUGCGAAAGCAUGGGGAGCAAACAGGAUUAGAUACCCUGGUAGUCCAUGCCGUAAACGCUGAGUGCUAGGUGUUAGGGGUUUCGAUACCCGUAGUGCCGAAGCUAACGCAUUAAGCACUCCGCCUGGGGAGUACGACCGCAAGGUUGAAACUCAAAGGAAUUGACGGGGGCCCGCACAAGCGGUGGAGCAUGUGGUUUAAUUCGACGCAACGCGAAGAACCUUACCAGAUCUUGACAUCUUCCGCUACGCCUCGAGAGAGGCGGUUCCCCUUCGGGGGACGGAAUGACAGGUGGUGCAUGGUUGUCGUCAGCUCGUGUCGUGAGAUGUUGGGUUAAGUCCCGCAACGAGCGCAACCCCUAAUCUUAGUUGCCAGCAUUCAGUUGGGCACUCUAAGGUGACUGCCGGUGACAAACCGGAGGAAGGUGGGGAUGACGUCAAAUCAUCAUGCCCCUUAUGAUCUGGGCUACACACGUGCUAC